UACGGGGGGGGCAAGCGUUGUUCGGAAUUACUGGGCGUAAAGGGCUCGUAGGCGGCCAACUAAGUCGGAUGUGAAAUCCCCAGGCUUAACCUGGGAACUGCAUCCGAUACUGGAUGGCUUGAAUCCGGGAGAGGGAUGCAGAAUUCCAGGUGUAGCGGUGAAAUGCGUAGAUAUCGAGAGGAACACCUGCGGCGAAGGCGGGUUGCUGGGCUGAUACUGACGCUGAGGCGCGAAAGCCAGGGGAGCGAACGGG
This 253-nucleotide ribosomal RNA is filed under the name uncultured bacterium. RNAcentral's name for it is "partial 16S ribosomal RNA". It matches the Rfam family "Bacterial small subunit ribosomal RNA", at positions 524 to 776 of the family's 1533-position model. The record is from RNAcentral.